This 279-nucleotide ribosomal RNA is filed under the name uncultured bacterium. RNAcentral describes it as "partial 16S ribosomal RNA". It matches the Rfam family "Bacterial small subunit ribosomal RNA", at positions 506 to 784 of the family's 1533-position model. The record is from RNAcentral.
UGCCAGCAGCCGCGGUAAGACGAACCGGACGAACGUUAUUCGGAAUCACUGGGCUUAAAGAGUGCGUAGGCGGCUUGGCAAGUUGGGUGUGAAAUCCCUCGGCUCAACCGAGGAACUGCGCUCAAAACUGCUAGGCUUGAGGGAGAUAGAGGAGAGCGGAACUGAUGGUGGAGCGGUGAAAUGCGUUGAUAUCAUCAGGAACACCGGUGGCGAAAGCGGCUCUCUGGGUCUCUUCUGACGCUGAGGCACGAAAGCUAGGGGAGCGAACGGGAUUAGAUA